Molecule: ribosomal RNA, 486 nt
Filed under: uncultured bacterium
Lineage: Bacteria
Description: partial 16S ribosomal RNA
Rfam family: Bacterial small subunit ribosomal RNA
Source: RNAcentral
GAUGAACGCUGGCGGCGUGCCUAAUACAUGCAAGUCGAACGCUGGAAAUCUAGCUUGCUAGAUUGAAGGAGUGGCGAACGGGUGAGUAAUACAUAAGCAACCUACCCACGAAGACUGGGAUAAUCUCUGGAAACGGGGACUAAUACCGGAUAGGUAAUCGGAAGGCAUCUUCUGAUUAGUAAAGGUUAAAAACACUGGUGGAUGGGCUUAUGGCGCAUUAGUUAGUUGGUGAGGUAACGGCCCACCAAGACGAUGAUGCGUAGCCGGCCUGAGAGGGUGAACGGCCACAUUGGGACUGAGACACGGCCCAGACUCCUACGGGAGGCAGCAGUAGGGAAUUUUCGGCAAUGGGGGAAACCCUGACCGAGCAACGCCGCGUGAGUGAUGCCGGCCUUCGUGUUGUAAAGCUCUGUUGUAAGGGAAGAACGGUAGAUAGAGAAUAUCUAAAUGACGGUACCUUACCAGAAAGCCACGGCUAACUACGUG